CUGGACCUUUUGGCCUGAAGCCGUGGGGGACCCCCAGGAUCCCUGGCUGUCCUUGGCAGUGCCCCCCACAGGUAGGCUGCUCUACCCAAAGGAGGGGGCGGGGGCACCCCAGCCUUGGUGCAGGGCCCCCUGGGCCCUCUGGUUCUCACACAGGGGUACCAGCGGCCGUACCGGACAGUGUCUGCGCGGGUGGGCGAGGACUCCACAAUGCUGCAUCUGCCGGUCGAGGCCUUCUCUGCCGUCUUCGAGAAGUACCCCGAGAGCCUGGUGCGGGUGGGGCAGAUCAUCAUGGUGCGUCUGCAGCGGGUCACCUUCCUGGCCCUGCACAAUUACCUGGGGCUGACUAAUGAACUCUUCAGCCACGGGAGUGAUGGGCCCGGCCCUGGAGCUCCUCCCACGGGAGUGCUGAUCAGCUCAAGCUGGGGUCCCUGGAGCCCUCUGCAGUGCCACUGCUGAGCCGCUGCAUCUCCAUGCCAGUGGAUAGCUCAGGACGUCAGCCUUCACUUCGUGCUGUGGGGCUGCCUACACGUCUACCAGCGCAUGAUUGACAAGGCAGAGGAUAUGUGCCUCUUUCUGCUGCAGCCUGGAGAGAUGGUGGGCCAGCUGGCUGUACUGACGGGGAGCCCCUCAUCUUCACCAUCAAGGCCAACCGUGACUGCACCUUCCUCAAGAUCUCCACGUCGGACAUCUACGAGUUGGUGUCCCCCUUCCCCUCCACAUCCUGUGGGCAGGGUCUGCCCACCUCCCACCCCACUUCCAUCUAGGCUGGUGGCCUGGGUCAGAUUGGGGCCAGUGCUCCCUAGAGGGGAAAGGCACCGUGUCCCAUUCCCCACCCCCAUAAACCAGGUAGUCCCCUGCCCUGGGCUGGAUUGGAGCUGCCUCCCCUAGAUGGGGAAAGGCCCCAUGUCCCAGUCCUCCAAUCGUGCACCUGUUGCAUGGGCCUGGAUUCUCCUGCCCUGGGCUGUGAUCUGUCCUGGUGCCAUGUUUUCUUGGCUGGCUCUGUUCCAGAGGAGGUGGGUGACUCAGGGAGGGGGCGGCUGCAGUCAGCAGCGCACUGGCAGCAACGGGGCCACCUGUGCACGGACAAGCUGCCCGCUCUCUCCCCAGGAUCAUGCGGGAACAGCCCAGUGUGGUGCUGAGUGUUGCCCAUACUGUGGCCGCCUGCAUGUCCCCAUUCGUGCGCCAGAUGGACUUUGCCAUCGACUGGAUGGCAGUGGAGGCCGAACGGGCCUUGUACAGGAGAGUGAGGCCUGUGCUGGGGGGAGGGUGUGUGUGCUGGGAGACCCUGGCUGGGGAACCCCAGUUUCUCCGCCUAGCCCAGGGCACAGCUGGGACCAACUCUCCCUGCUGUGUUUAACCCCUUCUGCGCCAGGGUAACGGGCACCCCUGUUACUCUCAGCCUCGUCUAUGCCCUUCCUGCAGCAAAAAUGACUCAGGCAUCCCAGCGCUCUGGGCGGGCGCUGUCCAGACCAGCAGCCGUGCUGUUUCCAGAGGGGCCAGGCGAGACCUGACCAGCUGCCUGUGACCCCUCCAUGGGACUCAGGUUUUCACCUGGGCUGACCUGACUUCAACCCCUUCCUGGCUGCAGAUGUUGGAUUGAGAGCAGCCCGGGUGCUCUGGGGAUGGGGGUGUCCCAGCCCAGGGCAGGUGCCAGCUGGGGCUGUCAGACUCGCCGCUCAUUGCAUGUGCUCUCCCAGCCGAGGUGGUAGGGGGCGUUCUCCCUGGGGCAGACACCAGCUCAGCAUUCAGACUCACCGCUCACUGCAUGCACUCUCCCAGCCAAUGUGGUAGGGGAUGCUCUAGUUCUAGGGCUGGAGGAACCCAGCCCUGGGGAACCUAGGUCCUGCAGGGUAGCUCCAUUGGGAGGG
Non-coding RNA from Chrysemys picta bellii (western painted turtle), 1868 nucleotides. The record is from RefSeq and is a predicted model, not a curated record. Lineage: Eukaryota; Metazoa; Chordata; Testudines; Emydidae.